RNAcentral lists this long non-coding RNA (6722 nucleotides) under Triticum aestivum (bread wheat). RNAcentral's name for it is "long non-coding RNA (TAES_LNC028141)". The record is from RNAcentral. Lineage: Eukaryota; Viridiplantae; Streptophyta; Magnoliopsida; Poales; Poaceae.
UGGGUUGUUGGUAAGAAUAUAUCCAUGUUUUAAUGUUUUUCUGACUACAGUCUAUUGUUGUAAAAUCUGUCAUUAAGCUUCAGCAGUUCACUCUUGCAAGAUUCUUUCAAGUGCGGUCGCCUGAGAUUACCCCAUUGGCUUUGACUAAGACUUCCAAUUAAUUGUUAGGUUGCUUAUCCUGAAGUUCAUGAUCCUGCAUGCGAGCAAAGGAUGUGAUAAGCGCAGUUUUGUCUCUGUAGUUUUGUCUCUAUAGUUUUGUAGACUUCAUUCAUCAUGACGAUUUUAUGGAGUCUGAACAAUGUGUAGCUGCAAUGGAGGUUCCAGGAAGACUUCAAGAUGCUAGGCAUCAACCAUUUUGAGGUCGUUUUAGCAAGACAUGAUGUUUCAGUGCAUAUAGUGCAGUGUAACAUAUCAAGUCAGUUUGUUUCUGUAAUUAUACGGCCUUGUCCAUAUGUUUUACCCCAACCAUCAGUAUUUUGCAUGAUGCCCUAGGUAAUUUGUGUUCAGAAAAUUUACAUUGUGUAUCUGCAUACUUGGCUGGCAAUAUCAUUACCUGACAGCCUUCGGACACAUUCCUAUAGAAUCAUAAUUCUCAAAAAAGAAACCCUAUAACCUUAAGGAGCUAUUUCAUUCCUCAAAAGUAUACUUUUGUUGCAGGGCCAGUAUACUGGAAAUCAGGGGCAGAGCUCGGCCACCAGCUCCAUCUACUCGCACGAACAACAAAUUUAACAAAUUUUGCACACAUGUGUGCAACUGUAUUUGCUUUCGUACCAAUAACUGGACAGAUAAUAUUAUUCACCUUGAUUUCACCGACAAUUGCAGCAUAUGACGCCAAUAUAAAUUGUCCUGCCAGUUCUUUAACAAAAUUCGGAGUCAGGUUCCAAAACAAUUAUCUGAAACUUACCUUCUCUGACCAUCCUCACCUUAACUUUACAUUGCACCCGCCUUGCGAGCAGGAGAGGUUACACAGCUCCGUGUCGUAAUUUUGCCUCACAAGCGUUUUGUUUCUAUGGUGGAUGUGGCAUCCACUCCACUGUAAUUUUACCUCAGAAAACAUUUGUUUCUCGCGAUGGUUGUGGUGUGGUGUAAUUUUACCUCAGAAAGCUUUUGUCUUUUGUCUCUUACGGUGGUUGUGGCGUGCUGUUUGUGGCUCGUACAGGGUGGCUGGGGUGAGGAAUAAAAAUUCCUCACCCAGGGUGGCGAAUAGCGCGACCCUAUAUAUAUAUAUAUAUAUAUAUAUAUAUAUAUAUAUAUAUAUAUAUAUAUAUAUAUAUGUCUGUGUGUGUGUGUGUGUGUGAGGGAGGGGGCACCACACACCCCACGACAAUCCCCAAGCCGUGUGCGGCGCCCCACUCCCUAGUUUCAUCCCCCGUCAAGUUUUUCCGCAGUGCACGGCAAAGCCCUGCGGGAACAAGUUCGCCAUCACCGUCAUCACGCCGUCGUGCUGAUGGAACUCAUCUACUACUUCGCCCCGCUCGCAGGAUCAAGGUGAUGAGGACAUCAUCGAGCUAAACAUGUACUGAACGCGGACGUGCCAUACAUUUUGUGCUUGAUCGGGACAGAUCGUGAAGGUGUAUGAUGACAUCAACUGCAUUGAUAAACGAUUCCGCUUAGUGAUCUACAAGGGUAUGUACAUGCUCUUCCCCUCUCAUAGCUAUACAUCUCAAUGUAAAGAUCUUGCGUGUGCUCAAGUGGAGAGGUCCGUGCAAUUCAGAAAUCAAAGUCACAAAAUCAGUACGGUAUGCCCACUUCUCCUAUCCAUAUUUUCAUAACUAUGUUUCCUAAUUAUAUUUGUUAGGUUUUCUAAUUACUAGGGAAAAUAAAUUUUUUGUAGGCUGAAGAUCUUGGCUAUGACCCGCGGAGAGAUGAAAUAUUUAUCAGAGCACAUGUCCGUAAAACUGGAGUUCCUACCGCACAAGCAGAGACGCUAAUUCUUAGUCAGACAUAUACAUCAUGUGUUAUUCUUUAGUACAGCCAUGCAUGUGACUGCAUAUCAAUUGAUCCCGAGUAUUAUUCUUGUUAACUUUUUUCCAUGAGAUGACACUGCUAUGUUUUGUUUGAUGGGUCAGGAAGACAUAAGUUCAGAAUGGGCACGAUAAUGUGAUACUAAAUCUUUGUAGCUGAACUGAAGCGUGCUUUCUUUUAAAGAUGAGCCACAAAAAAAAUACUUGACCAUUAUUUUUAGGAAAGCAUUUUUAGUUCAGUCCACAUAUUAGGAUUACACCUGACUCCUUUUUUUUUAGAGAAACAUAGUUGUUGUAGCUUCUGCAGCAUUUGUUUAGUUUCAGGAUUUUAACCAUCGCAAAAAACAACAUAUGGGAACCUCUAUUGUAUACCACACAAUGUUCCAUAGCACGCAUGAACCAGAACACAGGCAAUGUCCUGUAAGUUGACUUGUUUUCACCAAGUGCACUAUACUACAUAUAUGACUGCAAUCUCUGUGUUUUUUUGCCGAUUCAGUAACUUGGAAUGCAAUCACUGAAAUCACAGUAAAUACCUUACUCAUGUUGUCUUAGAAAAUACCUGAUUGCUCAUCAACAAAUUCAGACAUUUUUAUAGUAAGCCAUUUGUGAUAUGCUAGCUGCUAUGCUGACUUUGUUUUAUAUAUUCUAAUAAGGUUGCUUUUGUAACUUGAAUCUUUGCAUAAUUAUAGUCUUUUUUUAGAUAUUUUUUUCAAAAAGGGGGGACACCCCAGGCUCUGCAUCAGACCGAUGCAUACGGCCAUUUUUUAUAAAUAAAAUAGGUUCAACAAGGUCUUAAAGUCGUGAAAGAAAAUAAAGGCGAGCUCACAUAGAGCCUCAACGCCAAAACAAUAAAAGGCCAUAAAGCCACAACCGGCUGGCAUAAUAAAGAUAGGAAAACUAAUCGCCUAUCAUAUUACAUGACCGCCAUCCAAACCGGUUGAAAAUAUACCGCGCUACCAUCUCCCACCGGACAGAUCCAGUAACCAAACGCUCCCUGGCCUCCGUCGGAGUGAGUAAGGACCAUAUACGGAUCAAUGCCGUAGCAUUGAAUACAACCUGCAAAAAAUGAAUAGUAGUUGUUCUGUUAAAAGCCAAAUCAUUUCUGCAAUUCCAAAUUGCCCAUAACAACGCACAAACUCCUACACGAAUGUGUCUAGCUGUAUCGGACUCUAUCCCAUCCAGCCACGUUCCAAAUAACGGACCGACCGAGCUCGGAGGAGUAAUGUUAAAGGCAAUUUGCACGGUGCGCCACAAAAUUCUCGCAAACGGGCACUCAAACAAGAGAUACUUGCUUUAUUUUUCAGAUCCUUUAUUUAGUAGAUAAAAAGGCCUGACCUCUAGAAUUACAUGCUUUUGUAACUUGAAUCUUUGCAUCACUACGCAGGUCUGAGCUCUGGAAUUCCAUGUUUCAAUUGAAGCUUGUGCACAACAAGAGGGCUCAGAACGACAAGUGGUUCGCAGAAUACCUACCACGCAUUGGUAAUGGUACCGAGGAGACUAAUGAUGAUGGUGAAAUACUCCUACCUGCAAGGAUAUGCGUGCCAAAUAAGACGGAUAAUAAUGGCCUAGAUAGACUCAUUGACAAUAUCUAUGAAACAGGGAAAGCUUCCCCAAAAAGAUCCAAAACACAUCACGUUAAGAGCAAUUUUGUCCACAAGGAAUGACUCGGUAGACAGAAUCAACCUAAAAAUGAUUGAUCACUCCAAAGGAGAGGAGAUGGUGUCCCACAGCUUUGAUUCCAUAGAAGACGACCCCCAUAACUACUAUCCACCGGAGUUCCUAAACGCCCUCACCCCAAAUGGACUGCCUCCACAUAUGUUGAAGCUCAAAAUAAAUUGUCCAAUCAUACUACUUAGGAACAUCGACCCUGCUAAUGGACUCUGCAAUGGCACAAGGUUGGUCGUACGUGGAUUCCAAAAAAAUAAAAUUGAUGCAGAGAUAGUAGUAGGGCAGCACUCUAGAAUGCAAGUUUUCUUGCCUCGGAUACCAUUAUGCCCAUCUGACGAUGACAUGUUCCCGUUCAAUUUCAAGAGGACAUAGUUUCCAGUGAGGCUCAGUUUUGCAAUGACAAUAAACAAAUCACAAGGUCAGACAAUACCAAAUGUCGGCGUCUACCUGCGUGAAUCGGUUUUCUCACAUGGUCAACUAUAUGUUGCGCUUUCUAGAGAGACCGCGACAUCAAACAUAAAGGUAUUAACGGGAGCACAUGAUGAGAAAAAGGGGAAGAAUAAGAAUAUCAGUACAUGAGACACAAACACAAAAGGAGUACAAAAGGAAAAAGAAUCAGAAGAUUCGUACAGACGAGACAUACAAAAAGAAUAUUGUCUACAUAGAAGUCCUCACCAAAUAGGUAAUGCAACCUUUGAAUUUUUUGUUCCAAAUUUCAGUUGGUACUUCGUAGGUUUAUUUACGACAAGUUAUGCAUUUAAAUUUCAUAUUACAUUGCUAAUUUUCUAACCACAAAUUCAUUACUUGGAUUCUACAGAACAAUCCAACCGUCAACUUCGGAGUUAGAAUUCAUAAAUACUUGGUCGUCUUUAAGGAGCAUGUCUUCAUGUCCUCAACCACAAAGUCAUUCAUGAAUAUAUUUUUAUGAUGUGUCCAAUAACUCAUUCAGGGUUAUUGAAAACUUUGAACACUUUGGUGAUCUCCAUUAUGUGUAUACAAGCUACAUAUGCAAUUUACAGAAAAGUCUAUAGCCAAGGGGAAACUGAGACUUACCAGCCAAAAUAGAAACAUAUUUCUCACCUUGGAGUUGCUGCUGCUGCAUUGAAUUAUCUGAAAUAUCGCUUUCUCUAACACAACGAAGAAACCUGAAAUAUAUCUGACCCAUUUUGAAAAAUACAUAUCAAUUUAUAAGCUAUUUAGAUGAACAAAACAAGAAGACAAGCAGAUGAACUGAACACGUGCUACCAUGUGUGCCAUACACAUUGUUUACUAACUAAUCAAAAUAUGUAAAAAAAACUAACAACCAAAGCAUAUCUGAAUCUGCUAACUACCACUACAGCAACAACUAACCACGACUGGAGGGAGGAGAGGUUGAUAGGUUGAACGCGAAGUCAAGGGCACCAGCCGGCGCCUGCUCGACCCGCGGCUGCUCACCCACCAACAACCAGGGUUGGAGCCUGCGGGAGGAGGGGUGGGAGGGAACAGGAAGGAAGAGGGAGCCGCGCAAGGUCCCAUUGAUACGGCGGCGCGGGCGGACGACACCACAGUGCGGCCGCCGGAAGUGCUCUUCUUAAUGACCUCGUCCUCCGACAACGACGAAGAGACGCGAGGUGGCGGCGCUGGCCAUCAGUACGGACCGAGAAUGGUGAACGGGAAGGGGAUAAGUUCAUUUCUCUUAGAAACAAUUUUUUUGCUAACAGAGAGUUCGUGUCGUAUUUGUGUGUAUAGGUCAAUUCCUGCCUAGGCCAAGCUCAAACUAUGGGGAAAAAAUUACAAAUGAAAUAUAAUUUUUCAAAAAAAAUGUUCAUCUCCAAUAAAAAAGAUUCAAUUUCUAAAUAAUGUUGAAAAUGAUUCUAAAACAAUCUUUUUUUCUGAAAUAUGUACUCAAAAAUAAUAAUAAAACACCUUCUUAGAAAAAAUAUAUAUUAAAUAUUGAAGUUUUUUAGAUAAGAAAGAUUGACAAACUAUUUCAUGGACCAAUACUCUUUCAUCGGAUGAAUCUACGAAGCUAAAGUAGGUCCUGACUAACGACGUUAGGUGGCUUCUUCACGUACGAAUUUCAUGGUCCAAGAUAUUACAUUCGGUAUAAUCUUAUUUCUGAGGUUUGCCACAAUUGGAUAUAAGAAAUGCAUAAAGCCAUGUGGAGCAUGUUUUUUUGCCCGUUGCAACGCACGAACAUUUUUACUAGUAUAUAUAUCCUUUGAAACGACAACACUUUUACAAUUGUUUUGCACAUGUACAAUCAUUUAAGCUGACAGUUGCAACUUUAUAGGUACUUGGAAGUUGGAGGAACAAAUUUGAAUCCCGACCAAAGCAUAAAGCGGUGAAAAAAUAUAUCCAACAAGUAAAAAUAUGUGUUUCUAUAGCCCUAAAAUGUGUGGACCCUGAUAUGAAGAAAAGAACUACCGUGAUGUAUAUAAUGGAGGUGCUUAAUGAAGCAGACCAGGUAUGGUAAGCAUUGCAUAUGAUGUCCUGAAUUAAUAUUCCUUCCAUUAUAAAAUAGAAGGCGUAUAAGUUUUCUCGUAAGUCAAUACUAUGGCUAGACACGAGCCGAGCCGAGCUGAGCUUGAUCCGAGCCUGGCUUUGGCUCGCUCUGAAGCGGCUCGGCUCGGCUCGGCUCGCUCAGCCAACGAGCCUAGUUCAGGCGGCUCGGCUUGUUUUAGGUGUGGCUCGGCUCAGACCGAGCCUGCUCAUAAGCCAGCUGCCCAGAGCUUUUGUACUUAUGUAUAUCAGUAUAUACUCCACAGUCUUGAUUCUUUUGCAACAAUUAAACUCAUAUUUUGGAAAACAAACAAUUUAUAUUGCUAAAAAUGAAACAUCCAGCAAUCUAUUGUUUUAAGAAAUGGUCAUAGUAAUGAAAAAUAAGCUUUCUUCUAUGAGUUCUUCUACGAAAAUUGUAACAAUGUAACAGAUUAGAGAAAGAAUUGGGCAGCAUUUCUACUGUAUUUUGGACAGAACUUCCUUUGAUCUUUACACAGCAAAACAUCAAAUAUUGACAGCCAAACAAAGAAAUUUUGUAUAGCAUAACACAUCAAAACAACACACACACACAUGAGCUUGGACACUCAUCCUCUUCCACCUCCUCAUGAU